RNAcentral lists this ribosomal RNA (496 nucleotides) under uncultured bacterium. RNAcentral's name for it is "partial 16S ribosomal RNA". It matches the Rfam family "Bacterial small subunit ribosomal RNA", at positions 29 to 507 of the family's 1533-position model. The record is from RNAcentral.
AUGCACGCUGGCGGCGUGCCUAAUACAUGCAAGUCGAGCGAACAGACGAGGAGCUUGCUCCUCUGACGUUAGCGGCGGACGGGUGAGUAACACGUGGAUAACCUACCUAUAAGACUGGGAUAACUUCGGGAAACCGGAGCUAAUACCGGAUAAUAUAUUGAACCGCAUGGUUCAAUAGUGAAAGACGGUUUUGCUGUCACUUAUAGAUGGAUCCGCGCCGCAUUAGUUAGUUGGUAAGGUAACGGCUUACCAAGGCAACGAUGCGUAGCCGACCUGAGAGGGUGAUCGGCCACACUGGAACUGAGACACGGUCCAGACUCCUACGGGAGGCAGCAGUAGGGAAUCUUCCGCAAUGGGCGAAAGCCUGACGGAGCAACGCCGCGUGAGUGAUGAAGGUCUUCGGAUCGUAAAACUCUGUUAUUAGGGAAGAACAAAUGUGUAAGUAACUAUGCACGUCUUGACGGUACCUAAUCAGAAAGCCACGGCUAACUACGUG